This 116-nucleotide transfer RNA is filed under the name Puccinia graminis f. sp. tritici. It matches the Rfam family "tRNA". From Rfam's summary of the family: Transfer RNA (tRNA) molecules are approximately 80 nucleotides in length. Their secondary structure includes four short double-helical elements and three loops (D, anti-codon, and T loops). Lineage: Eukaryota; Fungi; Basidiomycota; Pucciniomycetes; Pucciniales; Pucciniaceae. The record is from Rfam by way of RNAcentral.
GGACAGAUGGCCGAGUGGUCUAAGGCGCCGUCUUAAGGAGGUUGUUGGGACGUCGGGAGGCGUUCCGGAGGUGAUCCGGCGGUCUUCGGGCGUGGGUUCGAAUCCCACUCUGUUCA